RNAcentral lists this long non-coding RNA (1781 nucleotides) under Salmo salar (Atlantic salmon). RNAcentral's name for it is "lncRNA (ENSSSAG00000116464.1)". Lineage: Eukaryota; Metazoa; Chordata; Actinopteri; Salmoniformes; Salmonidae. The record is from RNAcentral.
UGUCAUUGUUUUAUAGAUACCAUAGUGAGAAAGGAUUCAUUUCGCAGCACCUACGGCUUCCACUAGAUGUCAACGAUCUUUAUAAAGUUGUUUGAAGCGUCUAUGAUAAACAGAGAGCAAAUUAGAAUCCAAGGAAGUUGACAUGUCAUCACUUCAUUUUUUUGCGCCUGCGCAUAAAUCUGAGAAACGUGAGUUUGUCAUCAUUUUUUAUCUAGACAUAGGAUAGGUUGUGUGAAAAUAUUACUGAUGUUUAACGUUAAAAAUGGACCAAAAGAUUAAUGCUAAACAACAUUUGACAUGUUUGAACGAACAUAAAUGGAUUAUUUACUCGUUUUUUUUUGCUUUUCGGCGUGAUUUUACACUCCCCACACCACGUUUUGUGGGAGCAUAAUGAACGCUAAGUACUUGGUGUUAUUUGGACAUAAAUUAUGAACUUUGUCAAAAGAAACCACAUUUGUUCCGGACCUGGGAUGCCUUCCGGACCUGGGAUGCCUGCCUUCUGAUGGAGAUAAUCAAAGAAUGAUCUGAGUGCAGUUAUAGAGGGUAAAAGACCAUACCAACAAGACAUGCUAACCUCCCCUGUUAUUGUAAUGUUGAAAGGUUAGCAUGUAACUUUCUGAAUCAUCAAUGUUCACAAUUCAUUCCUCUUAAGGAUAGGCCCCUUUUUUUCAAUUUUCGCCUAAAAUGACAUACCCAAAUCUAACUGCCUGUCGCUCAGGCCCUGAAGCAAGGAUAUGCAUAUUCUUGGUACCAUUUGAAAGGAAACACUUUGACGUUUGUGGAAAUGUGAAAGGAAUGUAGGAGAAUAUAACACAUUAGAUUUGGUAAAAAAUAAUACAAAGAAAAAAACAAACUUUUUUGUACCAUCAUCUUUGAAAUGCAAGAGAAGGCCAUAAUGUAUUAUUCCAGCCCAGGUGCAAUUUAGAUGUUGGCCACUAGAUGGCAGCAGAGUAUGUGCAAAGUUUUAGACUAAUCAAAUGAACCAUUGUAAUUCUGUUCAAAAUUUUGUAUCAAGACUGCCUAAUUUGUUUAUAAAUAACUUUUCAUGUUCAAAACUGUGCACUCUCCUCAAACAAUAGCAUGGUAUUAUUUCACUGUAAUAGCUACUGUAAAUUGGACAGUGCAGUUAAAUUGACAAGAUUUUAAGCUUUCUGCCAAUAUCAGAUAUGUCUAUGUCCUGGCAAAUUUCCUUGUUACUUACAACCUCAUGCUAAUCACAUUAGCCUAUGUUAGCUCAACCGUCCCGCAGGGGACCCACCAAUCAAUUAAUCAUGGUACCAUCCACAUGAAUGUAGAAGUGUUUAGAAACAUUUUGAUGGGGAUUUUUUUAUUAUGUUACUUACGGGUUAACAUGUCUCCUCCCCUUCAUCUACACUCAUUGAAGUGGAUUUAACAAGUGACAUCAAUAAGGGAUCAUAGCUUUCACCUAGAAUCACCUGGUCAGUCUAUCAUGGAAAGAGCAGGUGUUCUUAAUGUUUUGUACACUCAGUGUAGGUUAGUGUAUAUUCAUUUAGUAGCAUUUAGAUAACUGGUCAGUAGUUCAAUCAGAUUUCAACCAAAAUAAGAUGUAUUUUUCAUGAUGUCAAAAAGACGUUAUGAAAAAUACAACUUAUUCUUGUUGUGAUCUGGUUAUAAGACGUCCCGACCAGAUUUUAACCAUUGAAAGACGUCUUUAUCAUGUCGUAUGCCCACUGGGAGACGUUGAACUGACUUCUGUGUCCAGUGGGUGAUCAUUUCUGAACGUGAAAUAAAGUGCUACCUGUCAUGAGGCCUACAACGUG